UUUUGUUUUAUCCAUGUAAUGCUUUGCAGGGAACAUAUUAGAGACUCCGGCUCCAUCUGAGAAGCAAUAUAGAGCUGCGCUGUUGAAGAACAAGUUUGCAGAUAUCAUUCUAAAAGCACGCGAGAAAACACUUCCACAGAAUAGUAACAAGGGAGACCCUGAAAAGCUUCGCAAGGAAAGAGAAGAACUCGAACUGCAGAUGCAGAAAGAGAGAGCACGGCUACAAGCUGAGGCAGAGGCUGCUGAAGACGCGCGUCGCCAAGCUGAAGCAGAGGCCGCUGCGGAAGCUGCUGCUGAGUCUAAGCGUAAGAGAGAGCUCGAGAGAGAAGCAGCUCGCCAAGCUUUAUUAAAGAUGGAGCAAACUGUGGAGAUCAACGAGAACGGUUCCUAGAGGACCUAGAGAUGCUGAGUUCGAGUGCACCAGAGCAAUUACCUAGCUCAGUUGAUGAAACCAGCCCCGAGAGAGGUUUGGACCCCCUUGGAAGUUUCAACUUCAGAGGAAUCAACCCUCUUGAGCAACUCGGUUUGUACAUGAAACAAGAUGAUGAUGAUGAAGAAGG
Brassica napus (rape) is the source of this 560-nucleotide long non-coding RNA. RefSeq lists it as uncharacterized. The record is from RefSeq and is a predicted model, not a curated record. The transcript is spliced from 4 exons. Lineage: Eukaryota; Viridiplantae; Streptophyta; Magnoliopsida; Brassicales; Brassicaceae.